RNAcentral lists this small RNA (324 nucleotides) under Drosophila guanche. The record is from RNAcentral. Lineage: Eukaryota; Metazoa; Arthropoda; Insecta; Diptera; Drosophilidae.
GAAUUGGAGGAGCCGCUGGUUGUGCUGGCUGCUGUGGCUGCUGGAGGAGCUGUGGUAGUGGUUGAAGCGGCUGUUGUGGCUGCAAUUGAGGCACCUGCAGUGGCUGUUGCUGCUGCUGCUGUGGCAGCUGCUGUUGUGGCUGCAACGGUGGCAUUGGCAGCAUUUUUGUCACAUGUUGUAUCAUGUUGCUGCCACUCUGGUUGCUAUUGCUGUUGCUACUGCUACUGUUGUUGCUGCUGUUGUUAUUGCUGCUGCUGUUGCUGCUGCUGGCCAACAAAUUUGUAGCACUUGCAAAGAUCAACGGCGGCGGACCACUCUUUAUAA